Long non-coding RNA from Xiphophorus hellerii (green swordtail), 145 nucleotides. RefSeq lists it as uncharacterized. The transcript has 3 exons. Lineage: Eukaryota; Metazoa; Chordata; Actinopteri; Cyprinodontiformes; Poeciliidae. The record is from RefSeq and is a predicted model, not a curated record.
CUUCACCCACUUCAUCAUAAGAGCAUGGAUAUAAAUGUCUGACUACUUAAAGACUUCUUAACAGAUGUUGAACUUUAUUCAACUGAAAGUUUACAAAACAGAUGAGUAAAUUAGUGCUUUAGAAUUUAUCAAGAAAAAAAUAUUU